GGAAUAUUGGUCAAUGGGCGGAAGCCUGAACCAGCCAUGCCGCGUGAAGGAAUAAGGCCCUAUGGGUCGUAAACUUCUUUUGACGGGGAGCAAUAAGGGCGUCGCGCACGCUCGAUGAGAGUACUCGUCGAAUAAGCAUCGGCUAACUCCGUGCCAGCAGCCGCGGUAAUACGGAGGAUGCAAGCGUUAUCCGGAUUUAUUGGGUUUAAAGGGUGCGUAGGCGGAUGCGUAAGUCAGGGGUGAAAUACCGGGGCUCAACCUCGGAACUGCCUUUGAUACUGCGUAUCUGGAGUUCGGAUGCCGUGGGAGGAAUGGGCAGUGUAGCGGUGAAAUGCAUAGAUAUUGCCCAGAACACCGAUUGCGAAGGCAUCUCACGAAUCCGACACUGACGCUGAGGCACGAAAGCGUGGGGAUCAAACA
RNAcentral lists this ribosomal RNA (420 nucleotides) under uncultured bacterium. Its description in RNAcentral is "bacterial SSU rRNA". It matches the Rfam family "Bacterial small subunit ribosomal RNA", at positions 358 to 774 of the family's 1533-position model. The record is from RNAcentral.